Molecule: ribosomal RNA, 330 nt
Filed under: Triticum aestivum (bread wheat)
Lineage: Eukaryota; Viridiplantae; Streptophyta; Magnoliopsida; Poales; Poaceae
Description: partial small subunit ribosomal RNA
Source: RNAcentral
GUGUUCCUACCUGAUGGAGUUAGGUUCUAUACCUUUGGCCUGACGGCUAUAUGUUGGGCCAUUUGGAAUAGUCGCAACCAGGCUACGUUUGAACAUAAGCAACUCAAAACUCCGUUUAAUGUGGUAUAUUCUGCUUGUGGCUUUUUGACGUAUUGGGCAGGCUUGAUGACGGGUGCUGCUCGGGAGGCUAUGAAGCGUGGUGCCAAGAUGCUCAAGUCGAAUGCUUCUGCGAUGAUGAGGAUUUGUGCUGCUAGUCAAGGCAACAAUGGAUUGAAGCUACCUUCGAUGGUGACUGAGCCCUGCUUUCUGGCCCGAUCGGAGGCCUUUUAG